GAUGAAGAACGUAGCGAAAUGCGAUAAGUAAUGUGAAUUGCAGAAUUCAGUGAAUCAUCGAAUCUUUGAACGCACAUUGCGCCCGCCAGUAUUCUGGCGGGCAUGCCUGUUCGAGCGUCAUUUCAACCAUCAAGCCCCCGGGCUUGUGUUGGGGACCUGCGGCUGCCGCAGGCCCUGAAAAGCAGUGGCGGGCUCGCUGUCACACCGAGCGUAGUAGAUUUUAUCUCGCUCUGGGCGUGCUGCGGGUUCCGGACGUUAAACCACCCUUUUAACCCAAGGUUGACCUCGGAUCAGGUAGGAAGACCCGCUGAACUUAAGCAUAUCAAUAAUCGGAGGA
This 337-nucleotide unclassified non-coding RNA is filed under the name soil metagenome. RNAcentral's name for it is "partial contains 5.8S ribosomal RNA, internal transcribed spacer 2, and large subunit ribosomal RNA". The stretch from base 1 to 120 matches the Rfam family "5.8S ribosomal RNA", at positions 35 to 154 of the family's 154-position model. The record is from RNAcentral.